This is an RNA transcript of Prunus persica (peach), 1992 nucleotides long. It is a transcript of the gene named protein ANTAGONIST OF LIKE HETEROCHROMATIN PROTEIN 1, with no coding region annotated. NCBI's taxonomy places the organism in Eukaryota, Viridiplantae, Streptophyta, Magnoliopsida, Rosales, Rosaceae. The record is from RefSeq and is a predicted model, not a curated record. The transcript is spliced from 3 exons.
AAUGUGUACGUACUAUUGUACAUUUAUUUUUUUAACAAAUGUGUAUUUUACCGAGUCUUUAGGACGUGUACGGAAAAUGGAAGCAUUAUUGAAAAAUAUGUACAUAAGUGUAUAAUAAGAGUAUUAAACGAAAAAUGCUAAAUUCUUUAUAGAGGUAAUAACUAUGGAAAAGUAAAGAAUCAAAAUAGGACAAUAGAGACUCAGGUAAUAGCCUAAUAGUAAUGGAUAAUGCUCUAAACUACUCUUAUCGAUAAACAAAAAUUAGGGAAAAAAUAUUGCAAAAAAAGGAGGGAAAAAAAAAAAAGAUACCAGUAUAGCCGUGCGGCUAUACUAUUUAUUAUUAACAAAAAAGGCCACAAAUGGCUGUACAAGCUUUACAUUUCCCUCCUUGCCUGGCUCGCUUCACUGAAUCACUUCCCAUCAAAGUCUUCAAGUUCAAGGCCAAAAAAGAGGUGGGCAAUUCCUCAUUUGAGCUCUCAUGGCGCCUCCCAAGAAAUCAAAGAAAAGCAAGAAAGAUAGGAAAUUGAAGAAAAACUUAAGCUUGGUUCCAGUCGAGCCUAAAGCCAGAGACUCUGAUUGGUGGGAUAGUUUCUUCAACCCAAGACUUGGGGAAUAUACAGGCACAGAAACACAUAGUCGGGCUUUGCUGCUUGUUAUAUGGAAGCAAGUUUUUCUGUCUUCCUAUUUCCCUUUUUAUUCUUCACUAUCCAAUGAUGAGGAGAAGGUUUUUUCUUUAGGGUCUCAAAGAAGACUUUUGACCAUAUCUGUUCCCUUGUAAGAGAAGGCCUUGUGUUGAGGCCCCUGUCAGGUCUCAUCAACAUAGAAGGCUUCUUAGUGUUGAGAAACAGGUUGCAAUCACCCUAAGAAGGCUUGCAUCCCAUGAGUCUCAAGUCUCAGUGGGACCUGCCUUCGGGGUAGGCCAGUCCACAGUUUCUCAGGUGACUUGGGAGAUUCAUUGAAGCAUUGGAAGAACGUGCCAAGCACCAUCUCAAGUGGCCUGAUUCCAACAGAAUGGAAGAAAUAAAGUCCAAACUUGAAGAAGCCUUUGGAUUGCCCAAUUGUUGUGGAGCCAUAGAUGGUAUAGACAUCAUUAUGACCCUUCCUACUGUUCAAACAUCAGACGAUUGUUGUGACCUGGAGGACAACUACAGCAUGCUCUUGCUGUAGGGAAUUGUUGACCAGGAGUUGAGGUUUCUUGACAUUGUAAGUGGUUGGCCUGGGGGCAUGACGGUGUCUAGACUUUUGAAGUGUUCAGGAUUUUUCAAGCUCUGUGAAGGUGGACAGCGUUUGAAUGAAAAUGUUAGAACUUUAUCUGGAGGAGUAGAGAUUAGAGAAUACUUGGUGGGGUUGGCUAUCCUCUGCUUCCAUUUCCGCUUUCAAUGCCGCGCAUAGGGCUGCAAGGUCACUUGCAGUAACGGCAUUCUUGCAGUUAAAGGGCACUUGGAGAAUCCUUAACAAGGUCAUGUGGAGACCCGAUAAGCAGAAACAUCUGAGGAUCAUCUUGGUAGGUUGUUUACUUCACAAUAUAAGAAUUGACAGUGGAGAUAUAUUACAACCAGAUGUUGCUUUAUCUGGUCAUCAUGACUCGGGAUAUGGCGAACAAUGCUGUAGGCAAGUUGAUCCGUUGGGGAGGACUAUGAGGGAUAUCCUAGUGAAACACUUGCUGCACAGCAAGCAGACCGCUGCACCAAAGUGAUUCUUGUUCUGCCAAUCUGGUUUAUAAAUGAGUUGGAAGUUUGGAACGGGUUCAAUCUGUAAAAUUUUUUGCUUCCGCAAUUUCACCGGCACCAGCCAUACACGACAUGAAAUGCUGAAUUGCUUCUCUUAUUUACAUUGACUUGCAUAAAAGAAAUGUAUGUAUGUUUUUAACAGACUGAAUCAGCCAUCUUUGUAUGGCGGCUUAGAAAGUAGAAUGGAAGCUCAUUUUGUCAGAGUCUACGAGAACUUGUAACACCAAAGAUAUCCCACAAAAAUAAAACAUUUUUAUUUUAA